GACGAACGCUGGCGGCGUGCUUAACACAUGCAAGUCGAACGGAAAGGCCCUGCUUUUGUGGGGUGCUCGAGUGGCGAACGGGUGAGUAACACGUGAGUAACCUGCCCUUGACUUUGGGAUAACUUCAGGAAACUGGGCUAAUACCGGAUAGGAGCUCCUGCUGCAUGGUGGGGGUUGGAAAGUUUCGGCGGUUGGGGAUGGACUCGCGGCUUAUCAGCUUGUUGGUGGGGUAGUGGCUUACCAAGGCUUUGACGGGUAGCCGGCCUGAGAGGGUGACCGGCCACAUUGGGACUGAGAUACGGCCCAGACUCCUACGGGAGGCAGCAGUGGGGAAUAUUGCACAAUGGGCGGAAGCCUGAUGCAGCAACGCCGCGUGCGGGAUGACGGCCUUCGGGUUGUAACCCGCUUUCGCCUGUGACGAAGCGUGAGUGACGGUAAUGGGUAAAGAAGCACCGGCUAACUACGUG
This 467-nucleotide ribosomal RNA is filed under the name uncultured bacterium. RNAcentral describes it as "partial 16S ribosomal RNA". It matches the Rfam family "Bacterial small subunit ribosomal RNA", at positions 28 to 507 of the family's 1533-position model. The record is from RNAcentral.